This is a long non-coding RNA of Macaca mulatta (Rhesus monkey), 1213 nucleotides long. RefSeq lists it as uncharacterized. The record is from RefSeq and is a predicted model, not a curated record. NCBI's taxonomy places the organism in Eukaryota, Metazoa, Chordata, Mammalia, Primates, Cercopithecidae.
AGUAGUCUUAUUAGAAAAAAGAAAAAAUAAUAAGAGCUGAUUAUUCCCAUGGAAGAUUGUCCUGAGGGCAUUUGUAAAGGGAAAACUUUGAAGCUGCAGUCUUGGCACCUGUAGUUGAGAAGCUGUCCCACUGAAGGGACCUGGGAUAGACCCAUCUCUGAUUCUCUAUGGGCUGCUGUGUUACCAGUUCUCAAAAUGGGGGAAGAGAAUUGUGCUCAGGCCGAAUGCUGCACUCAAAUGAGGAAAGGGCAUGGGAAGAGGACCAUAGUUUCUGUGGCCUCCCUAAGAUGGCCUGCCACCUCUCCUGAUGCUGAUGACUUCUUGUGAUGAUUACAGAUCCAGACUCCUGUGCCUUACUGCUGCCCAUGGCCAACUCUCUGCUGAUGACCGGGCAUGACUACACCAGUUGUUGGGUACUUUGACUAGAACACCAACCAAGUCAUUAGAAAUAUAAUGCUUUGUUCUUUCUAGCUCCAAGAUAUGAACAUGUGACAACCUAAACAAACAAAAUCCCAACAAGAGUGUCAGAUCUGCAAAUUACAGUUAACCCUUGAAUAACAGAGAGGGUAGAGGUACUGAUCACUGGCACAGUUGAAAAUUCAAGUACAAGUUUUGACUCUCCCAAAACUUAAUUACUAAUAACCUACUGUUGACUAGAAGCCUACUGAUAAUAUAAAUGAUUUAUCAACACAUAUUUUAUAUGUUAUAUGUAUUAGGUACUGUAUUUUUAUAAUAAAGUAAGCUAGAGCAAAGAAAAUGUUAUUAAGAAAAUCACAAGAAAGAGAAAAGAUAUUUACUUUCCACUGAGUGGAAGUGGCUCAUAAUAAAGGUCUUCAUUCUCAUCAUCUUCAAACUGGGUAGGCUGAGGAGGAGCAAUAAGAGAAGGGAUUGGUCUUGCCAUCUCAGGGAUGGCAGAGAUGGAAAACAAUCCAUGUAUAAAUAUGGACCCAUGUAGUUCAAAGGUCAACUGUAUUUACCUUAAAUUACUUUAAAUUACUUGUCUGACCUGAGAUUUUCCUGACCAUAAUCCAAGAGAUUGACACAUUUUUAAAGUUUGUUCUUGUGCUUUGAAAAAUGACAAUUUGUUUUCCAGAAGUUGCCCACCACCAUGAUUUAAGACAGAAGAAGCCUGAGGUUCUCCCAAAGUCUAUUGAGCAUAAGAGUUUUUUGCCUUCUAGUAAAAUAAACCCAUAUUUGUAAAGUGUCUGCACCA